AACGAACGCUGGCGGCAGGCCUAACACAUGCAAGUCGAACGCACCGCAAGGUGAGUGGCAGACGGGUGAGUAACACGUGGGGAUCUGCCCAAUGGUACGGAAUAGCUCCGGGAAACUGGAAUUAAUACCGUAUAUGCCCUUCGGGGGAAAGAUUUAUCGCCAUUGGAUGAACCCGCGUCGGAUUAGCUAGUUGGUGAGGUAAAGGCUCACCAAGGCGACGAUCCGUAGCUGGUCUGAGAGGAUGAUCAGCCACACUGGGACUGAGACACGGCCCAGACUCCUACGGGAGGCAGCAGUGGGGAAUAUUGGACAAUGGGCGCAAGCCUGAUCCAGCCAUGCCGCGUGAGUGAUGAAGGCCUUAGGGUUGUAAAGCUCUUUCGCCGACGAAGAUAAUGACGGUAGUCGGAGAAGAAGCCCCGGCUAACUUCGUGCCAGCAGCCGCCGUAA
Molecule: ribosomal RNA, 447 nt
Filed under: uncultured bacterium
Lineage: Bacteria
Description: partial 16S ribosomal RNA
Rfam family: Bacterial small subunit ribosomal RNA
Source: RNAcentral